This 1330-nucleotide long non-coding RNA is filed under the name Ictidomys tridecemlineatus (thirteen-lined ground squirrel). Its description in RNAcentral is "lncRNA (ENSSTOG00000034658.1)". Lineage: Eukaryota; Metazoa; Chordata; Mammalia; Rodentia; Sciuridae. The record is from RNAcentral.
AGCAGGGGCCCUGAGCAUGCUGCCUUCCCCAGGUCUAGAUCCACCCUGGGGAUGCGAACAGCGUGCACGCUGUUUUGAGUGGAGUUGCGUAUCCAGUGUCUUCUGGAGGCCAGGGUCUGUCCUGGCUCCCUAUAGUUUGGCAGUCUCUGCCCUUGGUAGUCCUAUCCAGCUGUGGCCCCAUGCCAGCAUCUCAGCCUGUCCCUGAUCUCUUCCAGGCACGAGGCCCAGAGAUUGGAACAAGAAGCCCGAGGCCGACUAGAGAGGCAGAAGAUCUUGGACCAAUCAGAAGCUGAAAAAGCUCGCAAAGAACUCCUGGAGCUUGAAGCUUUGAGCAUGGCGGUAGAGAGCACCGGGACUGCCAAGGCUGAGGCUGAGUCCCGUGCAGAGGCUGCGCGGAUUGAGGGCGAAGGCUCUGUGCUGCAGGCCAAGCUGAAGGCACAGGCUUUGGCCAUUGAGACGGAGGCUGAGCUCCAGCGGGUCCAGAAAGUACGAGAGCUGGAACUGGUCUAUGCCCGGGCUCAGCUGGAGCUGGAAGUGAGCAAGGCCCAGCAACUGGCUGAGGUGGAGGCAAAGAAGUUCAAGCAGAUGACAGAGGCCCUGGGCCCCAGCACCAUCAGGGACCUGGCUGUGGCCGGGCCAGAGAUGCAGGUCAAACUGCUCCAGUCCCUUGGUCUGAAAUCCACCUUGAUCACUGAUGGCUCCUCUCCCAUCAACCUCUUCAACACAGCCUUUGGGCUGCUGGGGCUAGGGUCUGAUGGUCAGCCCCAGGCCCGAAUGGCGGCUAGUGGGCACAGCCCCCAGGAGGGUUUACAUAUUCGGGGUCCUCCCACCUCUCCAACUGCUGGAGGCAACCAAAUUGUACCUUAGCUCUUACUCACUCACAACUGACCAAUAAAGUGGACAUUUCUGGGCAUUUAAAUUCUUUAUCUUAAGCCUGGGCUACGAGGAGCUCACUGGUGGAGGGAAGUGUACCCUUGACAUCUGGAAGGUAAUUACUAGAGACUAUGCACAUCUGUAAAGUGGAGAGGAAACGGAGUCAGAGAUGAGCCCAAAGUUGCCCUGAUCACAAUGGGAUCCCCAAAGCCUUGGCAAGCUGUCUGUCCUUUAGGGAGUCAACUUUCCUAGAUCCCAGGUCAGGAAGAUGAUGUCACCCAUGGAAGAACGCAGUCUGCCUGCCAAGCCCUCUGGGAUGGCUGGGACUGGCAGCCUCUCCAUCCAUUCAUCCCUCUAAGAACUCAGGUUGGCCUGGCAGUUCUGAAUCUACCCAGAGCCACCAUGGAGGCCCCUCACCCCCAGCCUACUUAGGUAACUGCCCUUUGGCUCCACCUGC